AUGACGCGGCGGAUGCUUACACUGCAAGUCGAACGGUAGAGGGGGCAACCCCUUGAGAGUGGGAACGGGUGGUAAUAAUCGGAACGUGCCCAGUCGUGGGGGAUAACGUAGUGAAAAUUACGCUAAUACCGCAUACGAUCUAAGGAUGAAAGCGGGGGAUCGCAAGACCUCGCGCGACUGGAGCGGCCGAUAUCAGAUUAGGUAGUUGGUAGGGUAAAGGCCUACCAAGCCAACGAUCUGUAGCUGGUCUGAGAGGACGACCAGCCACACUGGAACUGAGACACGGUCCAGACUCCUACGGGAGGCAGCAGUGGGGAAUUUUGGACAAUGGGCGAAAGCCUGAUCCAGCCAUUCCGCGUGCAGGAUGAAGGCCCUCGGGUUGUAAACUGCUUUUGUACAGAACGAAAAGGUUUCUAUUAAUACUAGGAGCUCAUGACGGUACUGUAAGAAUAAGCACCGGCUAACUACGUGCCAGCAGCCGCGGUAAUACGUAGGGUGCAAGCGUUAAUCGGAAUUACUGGGCGUAAAGCGUGCGCAGGCGGUUAUAUAAGUCAGAUGUGAAAUCCCCGGGCUCAACCUGGGAACUGCAUUUGAGACUGUAUAGCUAGAGUACGGUAGAGGGGGAUGGAAUUCCGCGUGUAGC
This 643-nucleotide ribosomal RNA is filed under the name uncultured bacterium. RNAcentral's name for it is "bacterial SSU rRNA". It matches the Rfam family "Bacterial small subunit ribosomal RNA", at positions 30 to 679 of the family's 1533-position model. The record is from RNAcentral.